RNAcentral lists this ribosomal RNA (496 nucleotides) under uncultured soil bacterium. RNAcentral's name for it is "bacterial SSU rRNA". It matches the Rfam family "Bacterial small subunit ribosomal RNA", at positions 26 to 521 of the family's 1533-position model. The record is from RNAcentral.
AGAUUGAACGCUGGCGGCAGGCCUAACACAUGCAAGUCGAGCGGUAGAGAGGUGCUUGCACCUCUUGAGAGCGGCGGACGGGUGAGUAAUGCCUAGGAAUCUGCCUAGUGGUGGGGGAUAACGUUCGGAAACGGACGCUAAUACCGCAUACGUCCUACGGGAGAAAGCGGGGGACCUUCGGGCCUCGCGCCAUUAGAUGAGCCUAGGUCGGAUUAGCUAGUUGGUGAGGUAAUGGCUCACCAAGGCGACGAUCCGUAACUGGUCUGAGAGGAUGAUCAGUCACACUGGAACUGAGACACGGUCCAGACUCCUACGGAGGCAGCAGUGGGGAAUAUUGGACAAUGGGCGAAAGCCUGAUCCAGCCAUGCCGCGUGUGUGAAGAAGGUCUUCGGAUUGAAAGCACGUUUAAGUGGAGAGGUUAGUAACUUAAUACGUUGACAACUUUGACGUUACCGACAGAAAUAGCACCGGCUAACUUCGUGCCAGCAGCCGUACG